Lepisosteus oculatus (spotted gar) is the source of this 1231-nucleotide non-coding RNA. NCBI's taxonomy places the organism in Eukaryota, Metazoa, Chordata, Actinopteri, Semionotiformes, Lepisosteidae. The record is from RefSeq and is a predicted model, not a curated record.
GGUGACACCCCUACUCUUCUCAAGAGACACCCUGGGAUUGUUAAUGACCACAGAGAGUCAGGACCUCGGUUCUACAGUAUAGUUAGAGAACAUAAACAUUAUCCAGUAUCUGACUGGACACAGACUCAAAACCGCUGGCUUCAAUUUAAUAAAAAGUCAAGAUACUACCUCACGAACCUGGAGCCUGAAAUAACAAAUCACGUAAAAAAAUAAUGAUGCGUCCGAACACUGGAGACCUCCUCGUCUCAUGAAGGGGCUGCAGUAACAACAGUGCUGCCACUAGGGGCCGCCAAAGACGCAGCUAAAACAGUCAUACAGCUGCUACAGUUUGUCACAGAGCACUGUGCUCUGCAGACUGUUAAAAUCUCUGCAUCUGAAGGGCUGUGAGGAUACAGCACAGGAUCUCCUGGGUGAGAAGUUCUGAUAUUGUUAAUUACAAUAAUCUGGACGAGAGCACAGACAGCACCCCUCCCCUCAGACAGCAGCUCCACCCCAGGAACAGACCAAUUACACCUCAACAAACGCCUCCAGAAAGUGAAAGUGACAGUUUUCACAGGUGAAGAUGACUUAUCACUGAGCUCACCCUUAAAACUUUUAUAUCAAAGAAGGAAGGAGGCACUUCUGAAAGAAUCUGGAGAGAGCAGCUCGUCCUGUUGGUCACCCGCAAUCCUGUUCUUUCUUCAACACCCUGAAAGGCACUUAGGAAUAUUCUUGUGUCCGUAUCUUCGCAAGGGAAACCCAGAACGCCUUCAAAUCAAACGUAUUUUAAACACCUCGACUUGUGAAAAUGUUCACAACCCCUCCAUAAACGUAUCAGUGAGGUCGCCACCAUGAGGACGAUUGUAGGAUCGGUCCUGAUUCUCCUGCUUGUCAGUGAGUAUCUCUCUCGCAGUGAUGACGCUGUGAUCAGUCAUGUGUGCCAGUCCAAUCAAGAGUAGAGAAAUGAUCAAACUCUGCAGCAGAGACUAGAGGUCUGAUUCUGACAGUGGUUCUGAGAGAGACAGGACACAGAGCCAUCAGGAUACUGAGAUCUUUCUGGAAUCCUGCAGGUUCCACUCCAGCAACAGCAACAACAACAAGAACAACAACUCAGGCUCCAAGUCCGGCAGAUGUGACCUUCACUUUAAACUGCAGCCUAAACCAGGACUUCACAGGAGAACUUUUUGACAGCACCUCCGCAGCAUUCAAGGAACUGGCAGGGAAUGUGGAGAAACAGGUGGGUCCAUUUGUC